AUGACUAUAAGGAACCAACGAUUAUCUCUUCUUAAACAACAUAUAUACUCCACACUUAACCAUCAUUUGAUAGAUUAUCCAACCCCGAGCAAUCUUAGUUAUUGGUGGGGGGUCGGUUUGUUAGCAGGUAUUUGUUUAGUCAUUAAGAUAGUGACCGGCGUUUUUUUAGCUGUGCAUGACACACCUCAUGUGGAUCUAGCUUUCAACAACGUAGAACACAUUAUGAGAUAUGUUGAAGGGGGCUGGUUGCUCCGUUAUAUGCAUGCUAAUGGGGCAAGUAUGUUUCUCAUUGUGGUUCACCUUCAUAUUUUUCGUGGUCUAUAUCAUGCGAGUUAUAGCAGUCCUAGGGAAUUUGUUCGGUGUCUCGGAGUUUUCAUAUUCCUAUUAAUGAUUGUGACAACUUUUAUAGGAUACGUACCACCUUGGGGCCAGAUGAGCUUUUGGGGAGAAACAGUAAUUACAAGCUUAGCUAGCGCCAUAACAGUAGUAGGAGAUACCAUAGUGACUUGGCUUUGGGGUGGUUUCUCCGUGGACAAUGCCACCUUAAAUCGUUUUAUUAGUGUCCAUCAUUUACACCCCCUUAUUUUAGUAGGCGCCAGUCUUCUUCAUCUGGCCGCAUUGCAUCAAUGUGGAUCAAAUAAUCCAUUGGGUGUACAUUCUGAGAUGGAUAAAAUUGUUGGGUACCUUCUGCUAUCUUUUUUUCCAUUUGGAUUUUUUUUUGCUCCUAAUGUUUUGGGGCAUCCCGACAAUUAUAUACCUGCUAAUCCGAUGCCCACCCCGCCUCAUAUUGUGCCGGAAUGCUAUUUCCUACCGAUCCAUUCCAUUCUUCGCAGUAUACCUGACAAAGCGGGAGGUGUAGCCGCAAUAGCACCAGUUUUUAUAUCUCUCUUGGCUUUACCUUUUUUAAAAGAAAUGUAUGUGCGCAGUUCAAGUUUUCGACCGAUUCACCAAGGAAUAUUUUGGUUGCUUUUGGCGGAUUGCUUACUACUAGGUUGGAUCGGAUGUCAACCUAUGGAGGCACCAUUUGUUACUAUUGGACAAAUUCCUUCUAUCUUUUUCUUCUUGUUCUUUGCCAUAACGCCCAUUCCGGGACGAGUUGGAAGAGGAAUUCCAAAAUAUUACACGGAUGAGACACAUCACACCAGAUCCUUUUCUCCUUUUGGCCAUAGCCAUAUAAUGAACAGGACUAUUUCUCCUUUUGGCCAUAGCCAUAGAAGAAGCUUCUCCUCCGGAGCGGGGGGGGGGGCCACCUGA
RNAcentral lists this ribosomal RNA (1254 nucleotides) under Triticum aestivum (bread wheat). RNAcentral's name for it is "partial small subunit ribosomal RNA". Lineage: Eukaryota; Viridiplantae; Streptophyta; Magnoliopsida; Poales; Poaceae. The record is from RNAcentral.